Molecule: transfer RNA, 74 nt
Filed under: Rhynchospora breviuscula
Lineage: Eukaryota; Viridiplantae; Streptophyta; Magnoliopsida; Poales; Cyperaceae
Rfam family: tRNA
About the family: Transfer RNA (tRNA) molecules are approximately 80 nucleotides in length. Their secondary structure includes four short double-helical elements and three loops (D, anti-codon, and T loops). Further hydrogen bonds mediate the characteristic L-shaped molecular structure. tRNAs have two regions of fundamental functional importance: the anti-codon, which is responsible for specific mRNA codon recognition, and the 3' end, to which the tRNAs corresponding amino acid is attached (by aminoacyl-tRNA synthetases). tRNAs cope with the degeneracy of the genetic code in two manners: having more than one tRNA (with a specific anti-codon) for a particular amino acid; and 'wobble' base-pairing, i.e. permitting non-standard base-pairing at the 3rd anti-codon position.
Source: Rfam by way of RNAcentral
GGGGGUAUAGCUCAGAUGGUUAGAGUGCUGGCCUGUCACGUCAGAAGUCACGGGUUCGAUCCCCGUUAUCCCCG